AGAAAACGGGCUCACUGCAGCUAAAAGCCUCACCGCUUGGGUUAGGAAGCCACGGGAGCAAAACCUCCGCCCCGGCCUGAAAGCAACCGGGAGACCGCGGAGCUACUGCCACCGACUCAGCCCUGCCCAGCAGGGGCCCGCCCAGGGGCCACUCCCCAAGGGAGGCAGCCAGUCACUCGCCCGCCCUUCCGGGCCCACUCCCGAGGGGACGGUCUCCCGCCCGCCCUCACACACAGCUAGCUCCUCAGGCCAGGCCCCCAGGGUUUCGUCCACCUCUCACCUUUGACGACGCGAAUCAAGAAUGAGGAGGUGCUGCGAUGAACGACUGCGAGAAAACACACCCGCUCUCAUGGCAUUCCCAGUAAACUGAGGAGACGUGAUUAAACCUCAGGAUCUCCUACUAAUAGAGAAAUGUAUAACGAUUUAGCUACCAGAUCUGAACACUGAAGGGUUGGCAGGGGACCAGAGAAUAGAGGAAGCAUUGUAGGUUCUAGAGUGGAGAAGGGACCAUCCAAAAUGGAGUUUGAAAGAGAAUUCUGGCCUUUGUGUUUAGAGUCUGGAAUUGUUAAGAGUCUGAAGGCACAGAAUAAGACUGCAGCUAGAGCAAUUUAGGCGCCAUAGUUUGUCAAAACAGGUAAGGGGAAUAAAGGGGAUGACACAAUCAGAAGAAUUCACCUGAAAAGGAUACAGCCUCCUCCUGGAAGUCAGAGGAGUAAAUAGGGAAUUGGAAAUUAAUUCCUUAUUUCUGUGCAUGCACAGAAUCUGGGCCCAGGUGACUUAUGGAACCUUUAUAGAGACCAAGGUGACUGACAUUCAUGGGAAAGGGGGUAGAGGGGCAAUAACUGACUGUUCGUCAAAAAUUAUUAGACGAGUGUGUCCACGACACCAGGAGAUAUGUUGAAUCAUGGACAGG
This 913-nucleotide non-coding RNA is filed under the name Pongo abelii (Sumatran orangutan). Lineage: Eukaryota; Metazoa; Chordata; Mammalia; Primates; Hominidae. The record is from RNAcentral.